Molecule: unclassified non-coding RNA, 870 nt
Filed under: Bombus terrestris (buff-tailed bumblebee)
Lineage: Eukaryota; Metazoa; Arthropoda; Insecta; Hymenoptera; Apidae
Description: misc RNA ENSBTSG00005037412.1
Source: RNAcentral
CCCGCGUGAUUCUCACCACCCCCUAUACACGCAACAAGGGUUGGCCGGUCGCGCGGAGGGGCAGGAGAGCUACGGGGGAGAUGAAACGAGUCCCUCUGUUUGAUCCGCAAACACUGUAAUUGCCUAGAAUAUUAUAUUAGGUACGCGGUGCUGUGUAACGGGGGCAGCGGGUGUACGGAGGUGGCAUGAAAAGAGAGACAGCAGGGUUGAUGGCACCCCGGCGAGCAACGAAUACGCUGGAACAAUAAUUUAUUUUAGUUUCACGGAAGGGAACGUGCCGUGGCACGCUGCCGCUGGCAGACGGGAAAAAGUAGGAACGUGAUAUUGAAAAUUAUCCGAAGCAAGUGGAUUUGUGAGAUGCUGGAACGCUAGAAAAACUUCAAAUACACUGAUGUAAUGAAAUGACUUCAUCGCGACAAAGACGGCGACAAUGACGAUUUUAUUCAAAUGGAAACAACAAGCGAAAGUGCUAAUGGAGAGGUACCUUGUCGUACCUCAUACAUCAUAGAAUUUCUGUUAUACAAUCGUAAAUAAGAUAGUAGAUAUUUAACUGACCCCAUUUAGCCUACCCUCGUUUGCUACAUACAUUUGGUUCAGAACGUACCCACGCCAAGUAGCUCGUGCUUCUUCUUUCGAUUCUGAUUCGUUGGAUGUUUUGAGGAGAAUAAUUAGCGAACCAUAGUCGAAACUACACGGUUAUUCAUAGUCCAGUUUUAAUAGUUCUAAUUGUCUAAUUAACACUAGAACCACCACACUAGUCGAAUUGGCUGGUUUUACAAUUUUAUUUUCAAAUUCUUACUUCGUGUUAUAUUUUUUUCGGUAAUGAUGUAACGAGAUUCGCAACGAUAAAUAAAAGAAUAAUAUAAUGAA